CCGCCGCCGCCUCCGUCAUCCACUCGCCGCAGCAGGCGGCCCUCGCCAAGCCCAAGCUCUGGUCGCUGGCCGAGAUCGCCACCUCGGCGGACAGGGCGAGGGAGGCGGGCGGCGAAACGGCGGCCCCCGGCCCCGCCGUGCUGGGAGGCGGCGGCCCCCCGCGCCCCUCUCCGCCGCGGCCCCGCUCGCCGUCCGCGCAGUGCCCCUUCCCCAACGGGGCGGUCCUGCCGCGGCCGCUCUACUACACGGCGCCCUUCUACCCCGGCUACACGAACUACGGCUCCUUCGGGGCCCUGCACGGGCACCCCGCCGGCGGGCCCGCCGCGCCCGGCGCCGCCUUCAAUGGAUUAAACCAGACUGUGCUGAGCCGGGCCGAGGGGCUGGGGAAGGAGCCCAAGGCGGCCAGGAGCCAGCCCCAGGCAGAGCUCGGCAAGGACUCGCCGUACGAACUGAAGAAAGAAAAAGAGCGUUAAUCUGCCCCAUCUCGGGGCCCGAGGAUCGGAGCGGAGGAGACAUUCACUGCAAGCACGUAGGGGAAUAAGGGUCUCGCUUUAUUGAAUCAUCAAAUCCCAGGAACGAAGCUCUUAAUUAAUUAUGGGUGCUAAAAAUUCAGGCCAGCUGCUACUUUUUACUCGGCUCUGACAGAGAAAGACAAAGUCUGCGGCGAGCUCCUCCGAGGCGCUCCGCAUAAAUCAGCGCUCCCGGCCCGCGGGGACAGAUGGCGCCUCGGCCCCGCGCCGCCCGCAUUCCUCCACCGCACCGCGGCGGUGCGGG
Molecule: long non-coding RNA, 774 nt
Organism: Gallus gallus (chicken)
Lineage: Eukaryota; Metazoa; Chordata; Aves; Galliformes; Phasianidae
Source: Ensembl